GGAAGAGUAUCACCCCUGAGGAUAAGAAGAGAGCGUGGACUGAAGUGGCAGAAGCUGUAACAAGUGCCUUCCCUGGGAGUGGACCCCGUACGCAGGAUGACUGUGAGAGGCGUUGGUACAACGUACAACAAAAAUCAAAGCCUUGCAUUGCCAAGUGCAAGAAUGAGCAGCGGCAGACUGAUACACACUUUAUCAGUAUUGCUAGAGACCAUCCCAGCACAUUGUUCAUUACUUGUGGAAAAGAUACCAUUAGCUGCUCCGGCAACAGCCACUGCUUCAAUAUCUGCUGGCCCUAUGACACCAGCCACUGUUUCAUAAUCUGCUGGCCCUAUGACACCAGCCACUGCUUCAUCAUCUGCUGGCCCUAUGACACCAGCCACUGUUUCAUCAUCUGCUGGCCCUAUGACACCAGCCACUGCUUCAUCAUCUGCUGGCCCAAUGACACCUGCCACUGCAAGGGAUGACAAUGAAGCUGCUCCACCAGUCACCACCUACUUCAUCGGAGUUUAGAGAUGCCUUUCAUAGGGCAGCAGUAUAAUUUUUUGAUGCUGGGGCUGAAUAUUACUGCCUCAAGGCUAUGAUUUUGUCACUUUUUUUUAUUAUUACUGAGGAGGUUAGGGUGGAAGGGGUGAAAAAUAAUUUGUGCUGUUUUUCGACAGAAAUGAUUAGCAAAUUCAUUCAAAGCACAAAAUUUACCGGAAAAAAAAUUGUGUGCCAUUGUGAGUGGGUUCACUUGAGAUUGGGCUCCAAUACGCCUCCGUGGUCUAGUGGUCAGCAUGCCUGGCUUCUACGCGGGCCCGGGUUCGAAUCCCGGCCUGGGCAGUCGGCGUGCAGCUCACCCAGCUGAUCAUCCUCCCUCUCGGGCUGGUCGAUAAAUGACUACCUGGGGAAACUGUGGUAGCCCGGAUGUCACACUGGCCCUGUGU
This is a long non-coding RNA of Eriocheir sinensis (Chinese mitten crab), 926 nucleotides long. RefSeq lists it as uncharacterized. The transcript has 3 exons. The record is from RefSeq and is a predicted model, not a curated record. Lineage: Eukaryota; Metazoa; Arthropoda; Malacostraca; Decapoda; Varunidae.